RNAcentral lists this ribosomal RNA (468 nucleotides) under uncultured bacterium. RNAcentral's name for it is "partial 16S ribosomal RNA". It matches the Rfam family "Bacterial small subunit ribosomal RNA", at positions 28 to 507 of the family's 1533-position model. The record is from RNAcentral.
GACGAACGCUGGCGGCGUGCUUAACACAUGCAAGUCGAACGGAAAGGCCCUGCUUUUGUGGGGUGCUCGAGUGGCGAACGGGUGAGUAACACGUGAGUAACCUGCCCUUGACUUUGGGAUAACUUCAGGAAACUGGGGCUAAUACCGGAUAGGAGCUCCUGCUGCAUGGUGGGGGUUGGAAAGUUUCGGCGGUUGGGGAUGGACUCGCGGCUUAUCAGCUUGUUGGUGGGGUAGUGGCUUACCAAGGCUUUGACGGGUAGCCGGCCUGAGAGGGUAACCGGCCACAUUGGGACUGAGAUACGGCCCAGACUCCUACGGGAGGCAGCAGUGGGGAAUAUUGCACAAUGGGCGGAAGCCUGAUGCAGCAACGCCGCGUGCGGGAUGACGGCCUUCGGGUUAUAAACCGCUUUCGCCUGUGACGAAGCGUGAGUGACGGUAAUGGGUAAAGAAGCACCGGCUAACUACGUG